RNAcentral lists this ribosomal RNA (253 nucleotides) under uncultured bacterium. RNAcentral's name for it is "partial 16S ribosomal RNA". It matches the Rfam family "Bacterial small subunit ribosomal RNA", at positions 524 to 776 of the family's 1533-position model. The record is from RNAcentral.
UACGUAGGCAGCCAGCGUUGUCCAGAGUUACUGUGCGUAAAUAGCUCGUAGGUGGUUUGGCUCGUUGGUCGUGAAAACUCCCAGCUUAACUGUGGGCGUGCGGGCGAUCCGGGCAGACUGGAGUACUGCAGGGGAGUCUGGAAUUCCUGGCGUAGCGGUGGAAUGCGCAGAUAUCAGGAGGGACGGCGGUGGCGAAGGUGGGUCUCUGGGCAGUAACUGCCGCUGAAGAGCCAGAGGGUCGGGUGCGAACAGG